UGCCCAUCAGACUGGGAUAACUACCGGAAACGGUAGCUAAUACCGGAUACAUCCUUUCCCUGCAUGGGGAGAGGAGGAAAGACGGAGCAAUCUGUCACUGAUGGAUGGGCCUGCGGCGCAUUAGCUAGUUGGUGGGGUAAUGGCCUACCAAGGCGACGAUGCGUAGCCGACCUGAGAGGGUGAUCGGCCACACUGGGACUGAGACACGGCCCAGACUCCUACGGGAGGCAGCAGUAGGGAAUCUUCCGCAAUGGGCGAAAGCCUGACGGAGCAACGCCGCGUGAGUGAUGAAGGUUUUCGGAUCGUAAAGCUCUGUUGCCAGGGAAGAACGUCUUGUAGAGUAACUGCUACAAGAGUGACGGUACCUGAGAAGAAAGCCCCGGCUAA
This 387-nucleotide ribosomal RNA is filed under the name Paenibacillus terrae. RNAcentral's name for it is "bacterial SSU rRNA". It matches the Rfam family "Bacterial small subunit ribosomal RNA", at positions 127 to 500 of the family's 1533-position model. The record is from RNAcentral. Lineage: Bacteria; Bacillati; Bacillota; Bacilli; Caryophanales; Paenibacillaceae.